CUGUGCAAAUACCCCAGUGUCAUGGUCUACAGAGUUGAUACUGUACCACAGCAAUUUAGAAGCAGUGAAAAUGGACUUUAUAGUCUUACGGAUCAGCAGAGUGGACUGGGCUUAUAAGAAAGAUUUUCUGAUAGAAAAGCCGAAGGAUGCCAGCACCAUGUUUCCCUGGACCAACAGUGAUUUAGGAUUUACAGAAAUUAUGACAACUGCAGGCCAAUUCUGUAGAAAUGGCACAGUGAAGAAAUGACAGAGAUGAUCUUUUAAAAGAAGAGCUGGAAAAUUGUUUCACUGCCUCUUCUCACCCCCAAACUCAAUUACUGCUCAA
Molecule: long non-coding RNA, 325 nt
Organism: Numida meleagris (helmeted guineafowl)
Lineage: Eukaryota; Metazoa; Chordata; Aves; Galliformes; Numididae
Exons: 5
Source: RefSeq, a predicted model, not a curated record